Molecule: ribosomal RNA, 496 nt
Filed under: uncultured bacterium
Lineage: Bacteria
Description: partial 16S ribosomal RNA
Rfam family: Bacterial small subunit ribosomal RNA
Source: RNAcentral
GAUGAACGCUGGCGGCGUGCCUAAUACAUGCAAGUCGAGCGAACAGACGAGGAGCUUGCUCCUCUGACGUUAGCGGCGGACGGGUGAGUAACACGUGGAUAACCUACCUAUAAGACUGGGAUAACUUCGGGAAACCGGAGCUAAUACCGGAUAAUAUAUUGAACCGCAUGGUUCAAUAGUGAAAGACGGUUUUGCUGUCACUUAUAGAUGGAUCCGCGCCGCAUUAGCUAGUUGGUAAGGUAACGGCUUACCAAGGCAACGAUGCGUAGCCGACCUGAGAGGGGGAUCGGCCACCCUGGAACUGAGACACGGCCCAGACUCCCAGGGGGGGCCGCAGUAGGGAAUCUUCCGCAAGGGGGGAAAGCCUGACGGAGCAACGCCGGGUGGGUGAUGAAGGUUUUCGGACCGUAAAACCCUUUUAUUGGGGAAGAAAAAAUGUUUAAGUAACUAUGCCCGUCUUGACGGUACCAAACCAGAAAGCCCCGGCUAACUACGU